GAAUUUAAAUAAUUAUUAAAAUUAUUAUUUAAUAUAUUGUUUAUAAAAAUAAUUUUUUAUUUAUUAAUAAUUAAGAAAAAUAAAGCUUUUAUUAUAAAGGAUUAGUAUUGUGAAAGAAAUUUUUUAAAUAAAUUAAAGAAAAAUUUAAUUUUUGUACCUUGUGUAUCAGGGUUUAUUAAAAAUUAAUAAAUAGUUAUAAUUCUCGAAUUUAAAAGAGUUAAUUAAUUAAUAAUUUUAUUGUAAAAUAAAUAUUUAUAAUAAUUAAUUAGUAAUGAAAUGUUAUUCGUUUUUAAAUAUAUCUAGUUUUUAAAGAAAAAAAUUUAAUUUUAAUUAUAAUAUUUAAAAUUUUAAUUUAAUAAAAUUUUAUUUUUAUAAUUAAAUUUUUUAAGGGAUAAGCUUUAAAAAAAAAAAUUAUAAUAUAAUUAAUUUAUUAAUAAUUAAUAAGAUUAAAAAUUUCUAAGUAUAAAAUUAUGUUAUAAUUUAUUAUUAAUUUUAUUAUAUUUAUAUUGUAUUUAAAUUAUUUAUUUAAUUAAUAUUUAUAAUUUAUUAAAAUAUUUAAUAAUGAUAAAAUAAGUAUAGUUAAAUUUAUUUAGUAAAAAUUUAUUAAGGUAAAUUAAAGGAAUUCGGCAAAUUAAUUAUUCACCUGUUUAAUAAAAACAUCGCCUUUUGAUUAUAAUUUAAGGUUUAAUCUGCCCACUGAAAAUUAAAUGGCCGCAGUAAUUUGACUGUGCUAAGGUAGCAUAAUAAAUAGUUUUUUAAUUGAAAGCUGGAAUGAAUGAUUGGAUGAGAUAAUAGCUGUCUCAAAUUUAAUUAAUUAGAAUUUUAUAUUUAAGUUAAAAAGCUUAAAUGAUUUUAAAAGACGAGAAGACCCUAUAGAGUUUUAUAAAAUUAAUUUUAUUUAAAUAUUUUAUUAAAAAAUUUAAUUGGAUUAAUCUUAUUUAGUUGGGGUGAUUGAAAAAUUUAAUAAACUUUUUUUUAAAAAUUAACAUAAAUAUAUGAUUAAUUGAUCCAUUAUUAAUGAUUAUAAGAAUAAAUUACCUUAGGGAUAACAGCGUAAUUUUUUUUAAGAGUUCUUAUCGAAAAAAGAGAUUGCGACCUCG
This 1100-nucleotide ribosomal RNA is filed under the name Dasytes sp. NLG-2013. RNAcentral describes it as "partial 16S ribosomal RNA". Lineage: Eukaryota; Metazoa; Arthropoda; Insecta; Coleoptera; Melyridae. The record is from RNAcentral.